Molecule: ribosomal RNA, 425 nt
Filed under: uncultured bacterium
Lineage: Bacteria
Description: partial 16S ribosomal RNA
Rfam family: Bacterial small subunit ribosomal RNA
Source: RNAcentral
GUGGGGAAUCUUAGACAAUGGGCGCAAGCCUGAUCUAGCCAUGCCGCGUGAGCGAUGAAGGCCUUAGGGUUGUAAAGCUCUUUCGUGGGGGAAGAUAAUGACUGUACCCCAAGAAGAAGCCCCGGCUAACUCCGUGCCAGCAGCCGCGGUAAUACGGAGGGGGCUAGCGUUGUUCGGAAUUACUGGGCGUAAAGCGCACGUAGGCGGACUGGAAAGUCAGGGGUGAAAUCCCGGGGCUCAACCCCGGAACUGCCUUUGAAACUCCCAGUCUUGAGGUCGAGAGAGGUGGGUGGAAUUCCGAGUGUAGAGGUGAAAUUCGUAGAUAUUCGGAGGAACACCAGUGGCGAAGGCGGCCCACUGGCUCGAUACUGACGCUGAGGUGCGAAAGCGUGGGGAGCAAACAGGAUUAGAAACCCCAGUAGUCC